CGAUGUCGGCUCAUCGCAUCCUGGGGCUGUAGUCGGUCCCAAGGGUUGGGCUGUUCGCCCAUUAAAGCGGUACGCGAGCUGGGUUCAGAACGUCGUGAGACAGUUCGGUCCCUAUCCGUCGUGGGCGCAGGAGGUUUGAGAGGAGCUGUCCUUAGUACGAGAGGACCGGGAUGGACACACCGCUGGUGUACCAGUUGUUCCGCCAGGAGCAUAGCUGGGUAGCUACGUGUGGCAGGGAUAAGUGCUGAAAGCAUCUAAGCAUGAAGCCCCCCUCAAGAUGAGACUUCCCAUCACUAUAAGUGAGUAAGAUCCCUCAGAGAUGAUGAGGUUGAUAGGUUCGAGGUGGAAGCGUGGUGACACGUGGAGCUGACGAAUACUAAUCGAUCGAGGACUUAACUAACUU
RNAcentral lists this ribosomal RNA (403 nucleotides) under Virgibacillus sp. Its description in RNAcentral is "partial 23S ribosomal RNA". It matches the Rfam family "Bacterial large subunit ribosomal RNA", at positions 2527 to 2925 of the family's 2925-position model. The record is from RNAcentral. Lineage: Bacteria; Bacillati; Bacillota; Bacilli; Caryophanales; Bacillaceae.